This 492-nucleotide ribosomal RNA is filed under the name uncultured Pseudomonadota bacterium. RNAcentral describes it as "bacterial SSU rRNA". It matches the Rfam family "Bacterial small subunit ribosomal RNA", at positions 355 to 864 of the family's 1533-position model. Lineage: Bacteria; Pseudomonadati; Pseudomonadota. The record is from RNAcentral.
UGGGGAAUAUUGGACAAUGGGCGCAAGCCUGAUCCAGCAAUGCCGCGUGGGUGAUGAAGGCCUUCGGGUUGUAAAGCUCUUUCGCACGCGACGAUGAUGACGGUAGCGUGAGAAGAAGCCCCGGCUAACUUCGUGCCAGCAGCCGCGGUAAUACGAAGGGGGCUAGCGUUGUUCGGAAUUACUGGGCGUAAAGGGCGCGUAGGCGGUGUGUCAAGUCAGGCGUGAAAGCCCCGGGCUCAACCUGGGAACCGCGCUUGAGACUGGCACGCUAGAGUUCGGGAGAGGAUGGUGGAAUUCCCAGUGUAGAGGUGAAAUUCGUAGAUAUUGGGAAGAACACCGAUGGCGAAGGCAGCCAUCUGGACCGACACUGACGCUGAGGCGCGAAAGCGUGGGGAGCAAACAGGAUUAGAUACCCUGGUAGUCCACGCCGUAAACGAUGAGUGCUAGACGUUGGGGCCCUCAGGGCUUCGGUGUCGCAGCUAACGCGUUAAG